Molecule: ribosomal RNA, 495 nt
Filed under: uncultured bacterium
Lineage: Bacteria
Description: partial 16S ribosomal RNA
Rfam family: Bacterial small subunit ribosomal RNA
Source: RNAcentral
GACGAACGCUGGCGGCGUGCCUAAUACAUGCAAGUAGAACGCUGAAGGAGGAGCUUGCUUCUCUGGAUGAGUUGCGAACGGGUGAGUAACGCGUAGGUAACCUGCCUGGUAGCGGGGGAUAACUAUUGGAAACGAUAGCUAAUACCGCAUAAUAGCAGUUAUUGCAUGAUAACUGUUUGAAAGGUGCAAUUGCACCACUACCAGAUGGACCUGCGUUGUAUUAGCUAGUUGGUGGGGUAACGGCUCACCAAGGCGACGAUACAUAGCCGACCUGAGAGGGUGAUCGGCCACACUGGGACUGAGACACGGCCCAGACUCCUACGGGAGGCAGCAGUAGGGAAUCUUCGGCAAUGGACGGAAGUCUGACCGAGCAACGCCGCGGGAGGGAAGAAGGUUGUCGGAUCGGAAAGCUCUGUUGUAAGAGAAGAACGAGUGUGAGAGUGGAAAGUUCACACUGUGACGGUAUCUGACCAGAAAGGGACGGCUAACUACGUG